GGAACUCACUGACUGUGACAUCAUGACCUGAGCCGAAGUCAGACACUUAACUGACUGAGCUUCCCAGGUGCCCCAGCAGCCUAUAAUUCAUUAUUAAGCAAGGAAUGACAUAGUAAGGAGAUUGCAUAUAGACUGUGGGUGGGGCCUGUCGUGAGAAGGCCUCUCUGAUGGAGGCCGACAGAAUAGGAAGCAAAGUGGCCACAGAAAACCUGCCCAGAAGCCAGAGGGAGGGAAGGAAUGAGAGAAGGGGGGGUAGUGAAGAGAUGGCAGGACCAGGUCAGAGGGGCUUGCAGACAUGGUUUAACCUUUUGGCCUCUUUUCUGAGGGCAGCUUAACACGACUGAAACUCUCUCAUGGAGCCACUUGGGAAAACAGUUUGGAAGUUCCUCAAAGACUUAAGUAUAGAGUUACCAUAUGACCCAGUAAGGCCACUCCUACUCAUACACCCAAGAGAAAUGAAACAGAGGUCCACAAAAACGGGCCUGUUACAGUAGCAUUAUUUGUAUGAGCCCAAAGCGGGACACAACCCACAUGCCCAUCAACAGUGACUGGACACACACAAUGGGAUAUUAUUCAACCAAAAUAAGGAAGGAAGCCUGGGCACCCCGCCACAACAUGGAUGAACCUUGAACACACGCUAAGUGAAAAAAGCCAGACACAAAAGGCUGCAUGACUUAUUCCACAACAGUUCCUAAACCCUCGCAUCGCCAAGUCAGUUCAGUGAAUUCCAGCUUUCCUGUCCCAAGCCAGACACCUGCUGGGCUCCAACCGGUGGCGGGGGGCUGAUUGCGUGGCUGGUGGGGGUGCGUUCCAGUUCUCAUUCCUCAAACUUGAUCUCUGCCCUGUGACCUACAACUGGGACUGAGGCAAGAGAAGCUCAAAGCAGCACCCAGCACAGAAUCUGGAACAAUCAUUCGGGCUGGACCAAAUAUGCCCAUAAGAUCCCAAGCAGCGACGUUAAGAGGGAGAUGUCACCACUGUCUGACCACGGAGAGAGACAAUGCUUGUACCCAAGAGUACCGAUGGCUGGCCCUUUGUUCCUGACAGAUAUUGCCGGGGUUCAGAAGGACAAGGCUAGAACUCACCAAACAAACCCCAACUCUGAUUUCCAUGAGGCCACAUGGGGAAGAAUACACUAUGCAGCAGACACACGGAGCGUGAGAACUGCCUCCAAGCAGGAGGCAGGGUGCUGCACCGUGACUCCUUUCAGAACGUCUUAGAGGUCAAGUUGGAGCCACAGAAGGAAAGCAGCAACAUGUGUUAAAUUGAGAGAAUCGGAAGGUUUCACGUGGGGUCUUUCAUUCAAAUCAAACCCCAAAACGUCGUGAUUGUCUAAACUCCAUGGGAGUCCCUAAGCAUACUGAUUUUUAGAAGAUGAAAAAUAGAGAACUGAGAUUUCACAGUAGAAAUGACUUUCAAUCAACAGUUCAAGGUCAGACAUCCUCCAAAUGCUAAACCUCACCAAAAAGAUACAAGAAAUGGAGUGAUUCGAUUGAUAACUUUGAGAGAGAGAGACAGACAGAGACAGAGACAGAGACAGAGAGAGGAGGUAGAUUAAUUUCCCCAGACAACUCACUCCCAAGGAAGCAAAUAAGACCAUUCUUGCUGGAAAUGAACCCCCAUCACUUUGUCUUUUUCAACAGCAGCUGCCUCAUUAGCUUGGGUUUAUCAAAUAGUAUGUGUGAGACACUGUGUGAUCCCAACUACUGUCUCUUCAAUCUCUCCGAUUAGUCUCUGGGAUGGACACGUGCCUUAUUAUCCCUAGUACAAAAGGAGAAACUGAGGCUGACUGAAGCCACCUUCAGUAAUCUUUCCUGCGGCUAAAUUCCAAUGACCCAAAUCCAAACAGAAGCAGCAUAGACUAUGUUGGAAGAGGCAGGACAAAGCUUGGGUUCCGGUCCCAGCCCUGUUGCUUGCUAGCCAGGUGACCUUGAGAAAAUCACUGUGUCUUUUUGGGCCUCAGUUUCCUCAUUUAUGAGUGGGAGCAUUGCUGGGGUCAACAGGAUUCUCUGAAGCUCUUGGCUGGCUGUCGCUGCCAUGUGUCUUGAAGGGCCUUCAGGGAAGUUGGAAGAUGGCCCAAUCCCAGUGACUUUGGACUUGGCCAUGGAAUUUGCUUUGGUCAAAAGAAUUCAAGCAGAUGUGAUGUACGCAAAGGCUUCAGAUGUGUUGACGUGGGCUGGCUCAUGUCACAUCUGCUUGACUUUCAUUGGUCAUCCACUGCUAUCCAGUAUGCUAGGGUUUCUCGGCUUCAGUCCUCUUGACAUUUGGGAUAAAGUUUUCAUUGUGGGGGCGUCCUGAGCACUGUGGGAUGUCUAGCAACACCCUUAGCUUCUGCACCCUUUCUCCCACUUGUGACAACAAAAAAAUCUCCGGGAAUUGCCCAAUGAUCUUUGGGGAACAAAACCACUCCUGCCUGAGAGCCCUUCUAGUAUGUUCUUGGAGUUGGGCAGCCACUUGUUUAAGGAGAGAGAGGAAGCCCGUGAACCAUAAGCCGACCUAGAGCCCAGUCCAGCACAUAUGGACCUCAGCUGACCAGCAGAUAUGUGGGCAAGAAACCUACGUACUUAUGGUUGUAAACCACUGUGAUUUUGAAGUUUGUCUUGCAGAAAACCCUCUAACAUUCUAGCCAUGAGGGCAACAGCAAAUAUGUGGUAGAAUUCCAUACACUGUGCCUGAGUACAGUGGUAUUUUCUGCUGGUAUUAUGAAUAUUGUUAGACUCUGUUUAGAUUGCCUUAUGAAGUGAUUUAGUGUGUGAUGCAUCUCACCUGUGUCUUGCAGAGUCAUCCCCUGAAGCCUUCUAAGCAACCCUCACCACUCUGCUCCAUGGACCACAUUCCCUGGUAUCUCGGACUGCAUCCAACCACCCUACGUGUGCCCGCUCCCACUUCUGGAGGAGCCUCCGUGGCCAGGCUGCUCUUCUCCAGUUCUAGGGCAGCCUCGACUGUCUUUUGUGUUCCUCCCCCUUUCUCCCAGUUUAGGAUGAACCAAAAAUCCAGAGCUGUGACACAUAGGAAAUAGUUUAAAAUAGAUGCUCCUUGAAUCUGGUCAGCAUACCUAUUACAGUGGCUAAUUACUCAGUAUCUGUAUGUAUGUUUUAAUGUGUGAAUUCCAAAUACUGACUUCCCAUAAGGGCAAGGACGAUUUUGUAUCUGUUUUGCUUUUUAUGCAAAGCUAGAACCUAGCACCAUUCCUGGCAUGGAAUCCUGGUGGACUGAACGGAUGGGUGAGUAAAUGAGCUGAGAGAACAUUCACUCUUCAUAGCAAGCACACAAAUAAUUUAGAGAUAAACUGAUGGCCACCUCAGAACCUUGUUUAAAUCAUGCAAGGUCCGAAAGAGUCCCCCAGAGUAAAUGUCACCAGAGAAUGUGGAAACACUCAGAACUCUGAUAGAAGAAUACAUUU
Acinonyx jubatus (cheetah) is the source of this 3403-nucleotide long non-coding RNA. RefSeq lists it as uncharacterized. The record is from RefSeq and is a predicted model, not a curated record. The transcript is spliced from 3 exons. NCBI's taxonomy places the organism in Eukaryota, Metazoa, Chordata, Mammalia, Carnivora, Felidae.